RNAcentral lists this long non-coding RNA (244 nucleotides) under Lathyrus oleraceus (garden pea). RNAcentral describes it as "Pisum sativum (pea) long non-coding RNA (PSAT_LNC026681)". Lineage: Eukaryota; Viridiplantae; Streptophyta; Magnoliopsida; Fabales; Fabaceae. The record is from RNAcentral.
UCCAUGGUUUAUCACUACCCACUACAUGUUAUCCCAUAAUACCCAUUAAUCGACGAUAAACCCCCCUUACCUGAGUUAAUCCGGCAAUCCUUCGGCUUCGAGCUCUUCCUCUCUUCAACCCUUGUUCUCUUCGACGAUAAACCCCCUUACCUGAAUUAACCCGGAAAUCUUUAAGCUCCAAGCUUUUCUCUUCUCCAACCUUCUUCCUCUUGCUCUGUCUCUUUGCCCUUUUCCUCUUUUCAGC